Molecule: long non-coding RNA, 548 nt
Filed under: Rattus norvegicus (Norway rat)
Lineage: Eukaryota; Metazoa; Chordata; Mammalia; Rodentia; Muridae
Description: long non-coding RNA NONRATT011877
Source: RNAcentral
AGGUCCCACCCACCCUAUUAAUCACACUCAUGCCUGCCCCUGCACACCAGUCUCACACACUAGCAUCUACCUUCCCCUCCAGGAUCAUCUGUUUCCGCUUGUUGAUCUCCUUCUUUUCAUCAAAAUGCGAAGCCUCCAGUUUCUGGGGUGGGAAGGGGGGCAUGUCAGGUCAGGCCCAGCACAGGGAGCCUUGCCCCACCCCACAGGCUGGCCCACACAUACGAUUUCACACUCCCUGCGCACCACGUUGACCUGUGUGAGGAUCUGCAGGACCUGGGCCUCCUCCACUGCCAAUUCAGCCAGCUGCUGUUCUGCAGGGACAGGAACCUGGGUUAGGCUGGGGUGCAGCUGGCCCUCCUUGCCCCCCUAGCUCUGGAGGUCUGGAUCCAGCCACAUGUGGACUAUGCUGCCAAGCCUGGUAGCACAUGCUCGUCAUCACAGCCCUGGGAGGUGGAGGCAGGAGAUCCCUCCUUUCAGCUGUGUUCCAGGCCAGCUCUGUAGAGCAAUUACCCUCUGUCUCGAAUGAAUGAAUGAAUAAACAAAUGAAC